This 370-nucleotide ribosomal RNA is filed under the name uncultured bacterium. Its description in RNAcentral is "bacterial SSU rRNA". It matches the Rfam family "Bacterial small subunit ribosomal RNA", at positions 29 to 389 of the family's 1533-position model. The record is from RNAcentral.
AACGAACGCUGGCGGCGCGCCUAAUACAUGCAAGUCGAGCGAGAAGGUGUAGCAAUACACUUGUAAAGCGGCGAACGGGUGAGGAAUACAUGGGUGACCUACCCUCGAGUGGGGAAUAACUAGCCGAAAGGUUAGCUAAUACCGCAUACGAUUCCCGGAUUACGGUUCGGGGAGGAAAGCGAUACCGUGGGUAUCGCGCUCAUGGAUGGGCUCAUGUCCUAUCAGCUUGUUGGNGAGGUAACGGCUCACCAAGGCUUCGACGGGUAGCUGGUCUGAGAGGACGAUCAGCCACACUGGCACUGCGACACGGGCCAGACUCCUACGGGAGGCAGCAGUAAGGAAUAUUGCGCAAUGGGCGAAAGCCUGACGC